GACAGAGGGGGCAAGCGUUGCUCGGAAUUACUGGGCGUAAAGGGCGCGUAGGCGGGAUGGCAAGUCGGUCGUGAAAUCCCUCGGCUCAACCGAGGAACGUCGAUCGAUACUGCUGUUCUUGAGGAUUGCAGAGGAGACUGGAAUUCCCGGUGUAGCGGUGAAAUGUGUAGAGAUCGGGAGGAACACCGGUGGCGAAGGCGGGGUCUCUGGGCAAUUCCUGACGCUGAGGCGCGAAAGCGUGGGGAGCAAACGGG
Molecule: ribosomal RNA, 254 nt
Filed under: uncultured bacterium
Lineage: Bacteria
Description: partial 16S ribosomal RNA
Rfam family: Bacterial small subunit ribosomal RNA
Source: RNAcentral